CUCCUCUACGCUCUGCCGAUCGCGCUGGAUAACGGCUAGCUGAAAAUGAAACGAGCGUUCUAAAAAUGGAUCGUCUUCAUUUAGAAAACUCUUGUAGGAUGCAUCCUGGUUUCUAGAGAUGAAUCGCGAAUUUUUAUACAGGAUCUCUCGAUAGGGAGUGGCACUUCUGCAGGGCAUCUGGAACACCUUCGCUACCGGCGAUUACUGCAACGUACGAAAACAUUCAUUUAUUGCGUGACGAGGAAUUUUCAACUGAAUUAAUAAAAAAUAGACACUAGAAUUAUUACCUGGCAUCGUGCUAUCGGAGCGAUCUUACGAGUAUUUACGUGCUAUAAAGUAGCGUAACCGGCUAAAGAGACACAGAGCCUAUUCUGGAACUCAUAACGAGAUGAUUAAAUCAACUUCUUUCUUCAUUUUUAUCGCGAGAAGUAAUUAACCCGUAAUUCCAAUGGUCGCUCGACGAAAGUUAAUCAGUCGACGACGCCAUUCCCAAGCGUUUCAUUCGAUCGAAAUUUAUUUAAUCGAGAAGCGUGUCUAAUUUUUCUUAGGACGCAUCGCGCGAUAU
Long non-coding RNA from Hylaeus anthracinus, 565 nucleotides. RefSeq lists it as uncharacterized. The record is from RefSeq and is a predicted model, not a curated record. The transcript is spliced from 3 exons. NCBI's taxonomy places the organism in Eukaryota, Metazoa, Arthropoda, Insecta, Hymenoptera, Colletidae.